Long non-coding RNA from Mirounga angustirostris (Northern elephant seal), 3317 nucleotides. RefSeq lists it as uncharacterized. The record is from RefSeq and is a predicted model, not a curated record. The transcript has 6 exons. Lineage: Eukaryota; Metazoa; Chordata; Mammalia; Carnivora; Phocidae.
GCGGCGGCGGCGCGCGGCCCCACUCGGCCUCACUCCGCGUCCGCGCCCGCCGCGCCGGCGCCGUCUGCGAGCUGCAGUCGAGUGGGCGCCGGGUGUCCAGGCUCCCGCUGCGGCCACUCAGGGGUCCAGGCGCGCGGCCCGGAGUCGGGGUCGGACGGGCGAGAGGACGAGCUCCCGCCACCGCCACCUCCCGGACCCGUCCUGGGUCUCCGCCCCGCGCCCGAAUCCCGGUCGCCCUUCAGUCGUCGGCGGGACGACAGGAGGGCCCUGGAGAGAGACCCAGCGCGGAGUGGCUCGGGCGCAGCGGGCCGUGGCGCCGCGAGGCGAGGACGCUGCCUUCAGUCCCCGGGAGGAGCGGGUCGGGACGGAGACACUAGAGAAAGGCUGGAGGGAACACUCUGCUCCCGGGUGCGCAGUAGUUUCCCUUCUCGAGUCCUUCGUGACUUUCUGUGGAUCCGUCUCCUCCUGGAGUCUCCCCUGCCCGCGACUUCAGUGUCCUCGGGAAAGAAAAGCUCCCCCUGUUCCAUUCAGUUAAAAGUACAAGGUUCUGAAUAGAAGACCCGAGAGGCAGCGAUUUCUGGACAAGGAAAUGAUCGAAGUCUCGUGCUGCCCAGGAGUCAAGGCCCGAGGCUGCUCUCGCCCCCGCUGCCGGGCGCCCCGAGGCCUGGGUCGUUCCAGCAAAGGAGGACGUGGUAUCUGGAGAGGGAUCUGUGGCUUCUCUGGACACAUCGGGGCAAUCCGCUCUCUGCAGAGACACCUUCACUGAGGAUGACAAGUCCAAACGAAGUCCAAGCGCCUUCUCUCCCAGUGGGCCGAGUUCACUGAGGAUGACAAGUCCAAACGAAGACGCGCCUUCUCUCCCAGUGGGCCCCGAGCAGUCUGGGCCCGCCCUGCCUGCAUUGACCGGCGGCGGAAACCUCCUUUGUUUUCUCCUAGAUCUCAGACUUCCAGAAACAUUGAUUCUGUUCAUUGUUGCCAACUCCGUGGUUGCUCCUGUGGAGGAAGUGAUUUUUGGAGUCCUCAACCCUGACGUUUCCAUGAUGUCACUCCUGCGUGUUUAUCUGUAAAGAACAUUUCUUGCAGGAAAGCUGUGGAGUACGAGAAAUGGAAAACAUCCCCACUGCUGAGAAGCCAGAGCCCCACAGCGGACCUCUAAGUAGAGAGGCAUCCUAGAUGCAUUUCCUGAGGAGUUCAGGGAGCCCGAAGUCAUAAACUCAGUUUGAGGUCAGAGAUUUAGGAGUGCCUCACCUGGGUAGUUGCAGCUGAUGGUCUCUCAUGAGGUUGCAAACAAGACGACAGCUGGAGCUCGGGUCAUCUGAACGUUUGCCUGUGGCUGGAGGAUCCUGAGCCAUGUGCUCAGUAGGUGCAGGCAGGAAGACUCCCUUCCUCCUCCCGGGGGCCCUCUUCACAGGGCUGCCAUGACUUAGCAACUGGCUUCCCAGAGAGCCAGAUCCAUCACGUAAGUUCGUUCGGUCACAAAAGACCAGCCCUGAUACAGUGCCGUGGGGAGCUAUGCAAGGGCAUGAAUAUCAAGAGGUGAAGAUCACUGGGGGUCAUCUUAGAGGCUGCCUCCAGAGCCUGGCCUCUGACCACCGAGGAUCUACGUCUCUUCCAUAUGCAAAACACACUCACCAUUUCCCAAGAGGCCCCAGAGGUCUCAAAAUAUAACAUUUAAAUCGUAUCUAGGUGUAUGUAAGGUACCUCGGGUAUAGUUCCUUGGAUCUGUCCCUUGAAGAACAAAGGAAGGAAACUGCACCGAAGGAGAAAAUGCUGUCACCCCUGCAGGAGGCUUUGGACCCUUGACUCUAGAAUUAAUGUCUCUUGCUCCACCAGCCAAGCCACAUAGGCCCCAGGAAGUAGCUUUCAUUUGUCUACACAGAUGGUUUUAGCGAACAUCACUGCUGUUGAUUAGUAUUGUAAAUACACUCUUGGACUCGGGGAAGACAGCUGAAGAAAUAGUUCCAAGUCCAUGGGGCUGAUUCACUGAACAGAAGUGUAGUCACGUACUCUGAGUGCUACUUGGUGUUCACUGGGGAGCUGUUGUUUGUUAUGUUUGUUCUACGUCUAACAAACCAUCCCGGCUUAGAUAGAGGGGGGGUAAGUAGCAUCAAUACAAUAAUCCUUAUUUAUUUACGUUCGGUUUGUAAGAGUGGGACUCGAAACGUGGAACCAACUGAUUGUCUUCCGUAAAUACUUAUUAAUACUUAAUAUGCUCACUGGCCACCUUUUGAUGACUAAGAAAAACAAAACUAAUGACAAAGCAGGAAAAGUGGAAAGCAAUCAGUGGAGAGCAAUAGUUGGAAUUACUGUGUUUUGCCAAAUAUUCAUUGAUGUAAAAAAAAAUCAACCAUUCAUAGGGAAGGGAAUGUCCAGCAAAUACAACCCCUCCCCCCCACUUCGUGCCCUGAACUUCACUAGUUUGGGGAUGAUUUUACCUUCUAAACGAUUUUUUUUAACCAGUUUGGAACACCCUCAUAUGCUUUUAUAACCAUUACCUAACAUUUUUCAUCAGAUACGCACAAAGACUGUAAUGACUGGUAUAUUGUAAGCUUUUAAGUAUUUUUUGAAGUGUAACAUCACACUCCUUUAUUGUACCAAAUGGAAUCUAAAAACCAUAGUGAUUAAAUAACUGCCAACAUCCCCUGGAAAAAAUAAAAAAGCAUGCCCUUCUGUGACACUUGGAAAUUUUAUAUUUAUAUGAUUCUCUUGCUCCUUGAAUGAGUUUUAUGCCAAUAUAAUGUAUGUUUACUUAAAGUCCUUCUUUGAUCAUGCUACUCUACUAGUUUGCACCAAAUAUAAGUGUAAAUAUUGAAAUCUGAGAUUUUGCUGUUUGAUGGGACCACAAAUCUGUGUUAUAAUGAAUUCUUUUAGUUUGAGUUAUAUUUGCAUUUACUAGUAGUAUGCAGUGCAAACAAAACAUCACAAGUAGAUAAUAAAUUUGAAAACCCCUUUACUGGAAGAUUUUAACAGAAGUAAAUAUGGAGUUUGUCACCUCCUUCUCCAUGAAAUCCCCUACAGCAUAUAAAACCACCUCAACUGAAGGAAUAUUUCCAAUUGCUCUUUUAUUGGACACCCUGGAUGGAAGGGAUUUUACAAUUCCCGAACUUCAGGUAGGUGGAAGCUUUUGAGAAUUGACUGCUGGGAGACAGCAUGAUUUCAAAGAAAGCUGGGGAAGAGGAAUCCAAAUUAGAGGAGGAUAUGAAAGAUCUAAAAACUGGUUUAGGCUUUUGGGCUCAUAGCCUAAUGAGAAAAACUUAGCAAGAGGGAAGCAAGCAUAAAAAGCUUCCUAGCAGAGGAUGGUUUCGAUCCAUCGACCU